Molecule: long non-coding RNA, 474 nt
Filed under: Glycine max (soybean)
Lineage: Eukaryota; Viridiplantae; Streptophyta; Magnoliopsida; Fabales; Fabaceae
Description: long non-coding RNA (GMAX_LNC000840)
Source: RNAcentral
AAUUUCUUUCAUAGAUUUUUUGUUCAAUACUUUCUCUUCCAAGAAAAGUGCAUUGUUCAAAAACUUGUGCUACUCUUCUUCUUCAUUCACUUCUUUCUCUUGUCAAAAGAUUCAAAGGACUAACCGCCUGAGAAUUAUUUUGUUUCUUCCCUUCUUCUUCUUGACAAAAGAUUUCAAAGGACUAACCGCCUGAGAUAUCUUCUAUUUCUUACAAAAGAUUUCAAAGGACUAACCUCCUGAGAUAUCUUUUUCCCUUUCCCUUUAUACAAAAGAUUUCAAAGGACUAACCGCCUGAGAUAUCUUCUAUUUCUUACAAAAGAUUUCAAAGGACUAACCUCCUGAGAUAUCUUUUUCCCUUUCCCUUUAUACAAAAGAUUUCAAAGGACUAACCGCCUGAGAUAUCUUUUGUAUCCCCCUCACAGAGAAUUCAAGGGACUAACCGCCUAAGAAUUCUUUGUCCUAACACAUUGGAGG